GAAGGGCUCUUGCUUUAUUCUUUGCCCCGCCCCUGUCUGCAUAUACCCAUGUUUUUGCGUACUAUCUGUUUCCUUGGUGGGCUUGCCUGCCGAUAGGACAUUAUAAACUCACUUGCAAUUGCAGUCAGCGUCAGAAAAACAUAAUAAUUACAACUUUCAACAACGGAUCUCUUGGUUCUGGCAUCGAUGAAGAACGCAGCGAAAUGCGAUAAGUAGUGUGAAUUGCAGAAUUCAGUGAAUCAUCGAAUCUUUGAACGCACAUUGCGCCCCUUGGUAUUCCAUGGGGCAUGCCUGUUCGAGCGUCAUUUGUACCCUCAAGCUCAGCUUGGUGUUGGGUGUUUGUCCCGCCUUUUGCGUGUGGACUCGCCUUAAAGCAAUUGGCAGCCGGCAUAUUGGCCUGGAGCGCAGCACAAUUUGCGCCUCUUGUCAUGAAUGUUGGCAUCCAUCAAGCCCAUUUAUUUGCUCUUGACCUCGGAUCAGGUAGGGAUACCCGCUGAACUUAAGCAUAUCAAUAAGCGGAGGAA
RNAcentral lists this ribosomal RNA (524 nucleotides) under Dothideomycetes sp. CAE3. RNAcentral's name for it is "eukaryotic LSU rRNA". The stretch from base 152 to 305 matches the Rfam family "5.8S ribosomal RNA". Lineage: Eukaryota; Fungi; Ascomycota; Dothideomycetes. The record is from RNAcentral.